UACGAAGGGUGCAAACGUUGCUCGGAAUUAUUGGGCGUAAAGCGCACGUAGGCGGUCCUGUAAGCCGGAUGUGAAAUCCCUCGGCUUAACCGAGGAAGUGCAUCCGAAACUGCGGGACUUGAGUAUGGAAGAGGGUCGCAGAAUUCCCGGUGUAGAGGUGAAAUUCGUAGAUAUCGGGAGGAAUACCAGUGGCGAAGGCGGCAUCCUGGCCCUGUCCUGACGCUCAGGGGCGAAAGCGUGGGGAGCAAACCGG
RNAcentral lists this ribosomal RNA (253 nucleotides) under uncultured bacterium. RNAcentral describes it as "partial 16S ribosomal RNA". It matches the Rfam family "Bacterial small subunit ribosomal RNA", at positions 524 to 776 of the family's 1533-position model. The record is from RNAcentral.